This is a long non-coding RNA of Magnolia sinica, 1038 nucleotides long. RefSeq lists it as uncharacterized. The record is from RefSeq and is a predicted model, not a curated record. The transcript has 3 exons. NCBI's taxonomy places the organism in Eukaryota, Viridiplantae, Streptophyta, Magnoliopsida, Magnoliales, Magnoliaceae.
CUGUUGGGUCUAGUUGCAUAUGAGGUGAGGUAAAUCUCAUGGAUGGCUAGGAUGUUGCACACAUGUGCUAUGUUGGGACAUGUGGGCGAGUGUAGAUGGCCUGGAAUCUACAUGCAUGAGGAGCUUGGAAACCUCUAUAAUAUAAAUUAAUUUAGAGAAAGAGAAUUAUAGAUCAAAGGGAGAGAUGAUCAAAACCUUUUGUGUUAGCACAGGCAAUUCCAACGCUUAUGCUCAGGCAAAGUGUGAACAGUCCAAGGAAUAUAAAAUUCAAUGGAUGACUCUGCCGAUAUGGAUACAAGGGGCACAAGACUACACAUUGGAGAGUAUGAGGUAUGUUAAUUACUUGCUGAUUGGAUGUUAGAAGACAUUUCAUGAAGAUGAAAUUAAUUUAGCAUGUAGAGCAUUAGACAAAAUAUUUGGAUUUUUCUUAAAAUGUGUAAAUUAUCUGAGAAGCCUGACCUGCAUCCAUAUGGAUGGGACAGGAGGCUGGAUGAAACAAAUGUUUACCUAAGCAGGUAAGCUCCAUUCAUAUGCUUUAUAUAAAAUUUGAAAUAUUUCUGGAUUACUAGUUUUUCCUAUUAUUUAUUCAUGUUCUUGUUUUUCUGUUUUUGCAACUCAAUUGGUUUUCUUCAAAAAUGGUGAAGGGAAAGUGAUAUGUAUCCUUGUCGUGGUGGCGGUGUUUUUGAACUUGUUGUACUUCUAUGGAAUGUGUGGUGUAGUGAAUGAUUGUUUGCUUCAACGGUACUUUAGCAAUAGUCUUCUAGUGGUGGUUCGCCCUCGAAUAUAAUUACAAAAGACGCACAGGAGAAGUUAUCGGUAUAGCUGUUGGAUGUGCAGGUGGACUAUUGAUACCCGCAUCCAUUUUCUAUCUAUGGUGGAUGAAGGAAUCACCUAGCCAUAUGCGAGUGCACACAGACUCACCAAGAUUUGUACUUUCAGCAUUAUUGUAAUUGUAAUUGAAUUGAAUGAAUGAAGGUUUGUAAUUGAUUCAUUAUUGAAUGAAUGAUUGUAAUUGACUGAAUGAAUGAAUGAUUGUAA